GAUGGGCGUCACCUGGGCACCGUCGGAUGCACAGCUGCCUGUGUCAUUUUUGUGAUUUGCAGCUAGUAGUCUGAGUCCAGUUGCAUAGUCACAAAAGUGAUCAUUGGCAGCUGUGGCUGCUGCAUGGAG
RNAcentral lists this microRNA precursor (129 nucleotides) under Lepisosteus oculatus (spotted gar). RNAcentral describes it as "miRNA (ENSLOCG00000020785.1)". The stretch from base 37 to 108 matches the Rfam family "mir-153 microRNA precursor family". The record is from RNAcentral. Lineage: Eukaryota; Metazoa; Chordata; Actinopteri; Semionotiformes; Lepisosteidae.